CAACGGAUCUCUUGGUUCUGGCAUCGAUGAAGAACGCAGCAAAAUGCGAUAAGUAAUGUGAAUUGCAGAAUUUAGUGAAUCAUCGAAUCUUUGAACGCACAUUGCGCCCGCCAGUAUUCUGGCGGGCAUGCCUGUUCGAGCGUCAUUUCAACCCUCA
RNAcentral lists this ribosomal RNA (157 nucleotides) under Fusarium sambucinum. RNAcentral's name for it is "5.8S ribosomal RNA". It matches the Rfam family "5.8S ribosomal RNA". Rfam says of the family: 5.8S ribosomal RNA (5.8S rRNA) is a component of the large subunit of the eukaryotic ribosome. It is transcribed by RNA polymerase I as part of the 45S precursor that also contains 18S and 28S rRNA. Lineage: Eukaryota; Fungi; Ascomycota; Sordariomycetes; Hypocreales; Nectriaceae. The record is from RNAcentral.